This is a non-coding RNA of Rattus norvegicus (Norway rat), 46 nucleotides long. The record is from Rfam. NCBI's taxonomy places the organism in Eukaryota, Metazoa, Chordata, Mammalia, Rodentia, Muridae.
UCAAAGGCUCUUUUCAGAGCCACCCAUACAGUCGUUAAAAGGGUCU